Molecule: ribosomal RNA, 253 nt
Filed under: uncultured prokaryote
Description: partial 16S ribosomal RNA
Rfam family: Bacterial small subunit ribosomal RNA
Source: RNAcentral
UACGUAGGGGGCGAGCGUUGUUCGGAUUCAUUGGGCGUAAAGGGUGCGUAGGUGGCGCCGUUAGUCAGGUGUGAAAUUUCGGAGCUUAACUCCGAAACUGCAUUUGAUACUGCGGUGCUCGAGGACUGGAGAGGAGACUGGAAUUUACGGUGUAGCAGUGAAAUGCGUAGAGAUCGUAAGGAAGACCAGUGGCGAAGGCGGGUCUCUGGACAGUUCCUGACACUGAGGCAUGAAGGCCAGGGGAGCAAACGGG